Molecule: ribosomal RNA, 113 nt
Filed under: Acanthosepion pharaonis
Lineage: Eukaryota; Metazoa; Mollusca; Cephalopoda; Sepiida; Sepiidae
Source: RNAcentral
UUACGUCCAUAACACGUUGAAACCCUGCUCCCGUACAAUCACCGACGUUAAGCAACGUCAAGCCUGGUCAGUUUCUAGAUGGGUGACCGCUUGGGAAUAACAGGAGCUGUAAG